GGGCGGAUAGCUCAGUUGGUUAGAGCGGGUGCCUUACAAGCACUAGGCCGGGGGUUCGAGUCCCUCUCUGCCCA
This 74-nucleotide transfer RNA is filed under the name Edaphobacter modestus. It matches the Rfam family "tRNA". From Rfam's summary of the family: Transfer RNA (tRNA) molecules are approximately 80 nucleotides in length. Their secondary structure includes four short double-helical elements and three loops (D, anti-codon, and T loops). Further hydrogen bonds mediate the characteristic L-shaped molecular structure. tRNAs have two regions of fundamental functional importance: the anti-codon, which is responsible for specific mRNA codon recognition, and the 3' end, to which the tRNAs corresponding amino acid is attached (by aminoacyl-tRNA synthetases). tRNAs cope with the degeneracy of the genetic code in two manners: having more than one tRNA (with a specific anti-codon) for a particular amino acid; and 'wobble' base-pairing, i.e. permitting non-standard base-pairing at the 3rd anti-codon position. The record is from Rfam by way of RNAcentral. Lineage: Bacteria; Pseudomonadati; Acidobacteriota; Terriglobia; Terriglobales; Acidobacteriaceae.